RNAcentral lists this ribosomal RNA (347 nucleotides) under Adrama determinata. Its description in RNAcentral is "partial 16S ribosomal RNA". Lineage: Eukaryota; Metazoa; Arthropoda; Insecta; Diptera; Tephritidae. The record is from RNAcentral.
GGCCGCAGUAUUCUAACUGUGCAAAGGUAGCAUAAUCAUUAGUCUUUUAAUUGAAGGCUGGUAUGAACGGUUGGACGAAGUAUAAGCUGUUUCAUGUAAAUUUAUAAUAGAAUUUUAUAUUUUAGUCAAAAAGCUAAAAUAUUAUUAAAAGACGAGAAGACCCUAUAAAUCUUUAUAUUUUAUUGUGUAUAAAUUUUAUAGAUAUUUUUUAUUUUUAUAUGAUAAAAUAUUUUGUUGGGGUGAUGUUAAAAUUUAAUGAACUUUUAAUUAAUUUAAAACCAUUAAUUUAUGAUUUAUUGAUCCAUUAAUAAUGAUUAUAAAAUUAAGUUACUUUAGGGAUAACAGCG